GACGAACGCUGGCGGCGUGCUUAACACAUGCAAGUCGAACGGAAAGGCCCUGCUUUUGUGGGGUGCUCGAGUGGCGAACGGGUGAGUAACACGUGAGUAACCUGCCCUUGACUUUGGGAUGACUUCAGGAAACUGGGGCUAAUACCGGAUAGGAGCUCCUGCUGCAUGGUGGGGGUUGGAAAGUUUCGGCGGUUGGGGAUGGACUCGCGGCUUAUCAGCUUGUUGGUGGGGUAGUGGCUUACCAAGGCUUUGACGGGUAGCCGGCCUGAGAGGGUGAACGGCCACAUUGGGACUGAGAUACGGCCCAGACUCCUACGGGAGGCAGCAGUGGGGAAUAUUGCACAAUGGGCGGAAGCCUGAUGCAGCAACGCCGCGUGCGGGAUGACGGCCUUCGGGUUGUAAACCGCUUUCGCCUGUGACGAAGCGUGAGUGACGGUAAUGGGUAAAGAAGCACCGGCUAACUACGUG
Molecule: ribosomal RNA, 468 nt
Filed under: uncultured bacterium
Lineage: Bacteria
Description: partial 16S ribosomal RNA
Rfam family: Bacterial small subunit ribosomal RNA
Source: RNAcentral